Molecule: ribosomal RNA, 786 nt
Filed under: uncultured Neocallimastigales
Lineage: Eukaryota; Fungi; Neocallimastigomycota; Neocallimastigomycetes; Neocallimastigales
Description: partial large subunit ribosomal RNA
Rfam family: Eukaryotic large subunit ribosomal RNA
Source: RNAcentral
AGAGAGAGACAUGCGCGCAUAUCAAUAAGCGGAGGAAAAGAAACUAACUAGGAUUCCCUCAGUAACGGCGAGUGGAGCGGGAAGAGCUCAAACUUGAAAUCUUCAAGGUUAUCUACCUUGACGAAUUGUAGUUUAAAGAAGUGUUUUCUGUUGGAGUUUUGGUAAAAGUUCUUUGGAAUAGGACAUCAUAGAGGGUGAGAAUCCCGUAUUUGACCGUUAUCUUUCUAGCUGUGUGAUACACUUUCAAAGAGUCGGAUUGUUUGGGAAUGCAGUCCAAAAUGGGUGGUAAAUUUCAUCUAAAGCUAAAUAUUGGCGAGAGACCGAUAGCGAACAAGUACCGUGAGGGAAAGAUGAAAAGAACUUUGAAAAGAGAGUUAAACAGUACGUGAAAUUGUCAAAAGGGAAGCGUUUGACACCAGUGUUGUUUUUCCGAAAAUCAAUUAUAGAACUGUUUUGUUUUUGAGGAGUUAUGACUUCAUCGGCUUGCCUUCUCUCUUUACGAAACUUUUGUAAUGCACUUUUCGGUUAACAAGUCAACAUCAAUUUCUUUUGUUGUAAAAGGGUCACUGAGAAGGUGGCUUUCUUUUCGGAGAAAGUGUUUAUAGCCUUGUGACUUCUGCAAUCGGAGAGAUUGAGGUCUGCAGCGUAGACUCUUCGGGGUUAGAUACAGUUUGUGCUAAGUUAUAGCUUUUCAUAGACAACUUGUUGACUAUAGUUUAGUCCUUGUAGCUUACUCGCUGAUGCUAUUUUACCUACGCUUAGGAUGUUGACAGCAGUAUAGACUGU